This 274-nucleotide ribosomal RNA is filed under the name uncultured bacterium. RNAcentral describes it as "partial 16S ribosomal RNA". It matches the Rfam family "Bacterial small subunit ribosomal RNA", at positions 93 to 367 of the family's 1533-position model. The record is from RNAcentral.
GAGCGGCGGACGGGUGAGUAACGCGUGGGUGACCUGCCCCAUACCGGGGGAUAACAGCUGGAAACGGCUGCUAAUACCGCAUAAGCGCACAGAGCUGCAUGGCUCAGUGUGAAAAACUCCGGUGGUAUGGGAUGGGCCCGCGUCUGAUUAGGCAGUUGGCGGGGUAACGGCCCACCAAACCGACGAUCAGUAGCCGGCCUGAGAGGGCGACCGGCCACAUUGGGACUGAGACACGGCCCAAACUCCUACGGGAGGCAGCAGUGGGGAAUAUUGC